This 813-nucleotide ribosomal RNA is filed under the name Glugea eda. Its description in RNAcentral is "SSU rRNA". It matches the Rfam family "Microsporidia small subunit ribosomal RNA", at positions 137 to 912 of the family's 1311-position model. The record is from RNAcentral. Lineage: Eukaryota; Fungi; Microsporidia; Glugeidae.
ACGGAGGGCAAAACACAGGACAUGCAGGCGUGAGCCUGAGAGUUUAACGACAGUGCGGGAGAGUAAGGAGCCAUCCCAUCAGUUAGUAAGUAGGGUAAGGGCCUACUUAGACGAAGACGGGUACGGGGAAUUAUGGUUUGAUUCCGGAGAGGGAGCCUGAGAGACGGCUACCAGGUCCAAGGACAGCAGCAGGCGCGAAAAUUACCGCAGCCUGCAUUCAGGGCGGUAGUAAGGAGACGUGAGCACGAUGUGCAGGUAAAUGAUGCACUGGAUACAGGAGGACAAGACUGGUGCCAGCACCCGCGGUAAUACCAGCUCCUGGAGUGUCUAUGAUGAUUGCUGCAGUUAAAGAGUUCGUAGUCGGAGCGGGACGAAGGGCGUGACAGACUGCCUCUCAAGGGGGGAUCUGCGCCGUGACCUCGCGGAGUGAGGAGCGUCUAGGGGCCAGGCUAUUAAGCGACGAGGGGUGAAAUCUGGUGACUCGCUUAGGAGCAACAGAGGCGAAAGCGCUGGCCAGGGGCGAGUCCGAUGAUAAAGGACGUAGGCUAGAGGAUCGAAGACGAUUAGAGACCGUUGUAGUUCUAGCAGUAAACGAUGCCGAUGCCGUGGUGCCGACAAGGCGACGCGGAAGAGAAAUCGAGUAGGGCCCUGGGGAGAGUACACGCGCAAGCGAGAAAUUUAAAGGAAAUUGACGGAAGAACACCACAAGGAGUGGAGUGUGCGGCUUAAUUUGACUCAACGCGGGACAGCUUACCAGGCCCGACGGCCGGACGAGUGUGGUACACGAUAGGCCGGAGAGUGGUGCAUGGCCGU